AAAAAAAAAAAAAACCAGCAUAGUAUAUGAAACUUGUAUGGGGUUAGUGACUUCUUUUGCAUGAGCUUAUAAAUUAUAUGGUCAAUGUAACUUGCAAACAGGGUAAAUGAACACUAUAGACCAUAUGGAUGAUAUCUACUAAAAGUUAACAGCCACAAUUUUAUGGAUAAUAUAACAUUGCUUUAGAUAAGAUGCCUUGAAUCAUUUUUUGAGAGAUUGAAUAAUAGGAACAAUAUUUCAAAAUAUCACAAAAUGGAAUAAAAAAAGAAGACAUAAAUUAGUAAUUAAUAUAUGGAAAAUUUCUACUUAAAUAGCACCAUAAAUCGAAAUAGGUCCCAAAAUUACUAAAGGGCUAUGUAUCUGAUUUUUAGAGACCAACAACACCUAUUUUAUCGAAACAUCACUUUUAAUUAGAAAAAAAAAAUCCACAAAUGAAAGGAAUUUAAUCUGAAAAAAAAAAAGAAGAAGGAAUCAUAGAGUUUAUCAUUACCUACACUAACGCAUAAUCAAGAAUGUGGUCCGAUAUUGCGAUUGGUUAAUGUAGAUUGGAACACGAGUUAGAACUUGCACAGCGUGAAAUCAAAGAGAUGCCUGAUUUAAUUCCAAAACUUUGAGUGAAGGGCUUGAGCUUUGAGUGGCUGAUGUCUAUUGGUACGACUGGCGUGGGUCUGUAGCUGUCUGAACUGUUGCAUCUUUUGGUAGACUUGAACCAUUGCUCGUGUUAUGAUUAAUGCGGAUGCUAUGAACCCCAAAUAGAAUCCUGACUUGUGUUGAUUGGAGAUGAGCUACGCAAAUGGUGCUAAUUUUGUGAGAUUUGGAGAGCUGAAAAAUGGGUAAGAGAUGGACAUGGAAAGAGGUUGUGAGAUGGAGUUGGAUUGGGCCUGAUGUGAGGUGGAAUUAAGAUGAAAGACGACUGAGAGGGAUCAAGGAAGCGUUAAAAUAUUAGGAUACGAGUGGAAAUUGAAAGGGAGAGAAUGGGAGGAAGGCUGCUCCUGCAAUGUCGUUUUGAAGAGAGAAAGAAGAUUCAAAGAUUUUUUUUACUCUAAAAUUCACUCCUCUAAAAAUGCUCCUCCUCCUUCCUAACAGUAAAUGAAUGGCAUUUAUAAAGAAAU
RNAcentral lists this unclassified non-coding RNA (1112 nucleotides) under Hevea brasiliensis (rubber tree). The record is from RNAcentral. Lineage: Eukaryota; Viridiplantae; Streptophyta; Magnoliopsida; Malpighiales; Euphorbiaceae.